RNAcentral lists this ribosomal RNA (253 nucleotides) under uncultured bacterium. RNAcentral describes it as "partial 16S ribosomal RNA". It matches the Rfam family "Bacterial small subunit ribosomal RNA", at positions 524 to 776 of the family's 1533-position model. The record is from RNAcentral.
UACGUAGGUGGCAAGCGUUGUCCGGAUUUAUUGGGUUUAAAGGGUGCGUAGGCGGCUUUGUAAGUCAGUGGUGAAAUACGGUAGCUCAACUAUCGAGGUGCCAUUGAUACUGCGGAGCUUGAGUACAGGUGAGGUAGGCGGAAUUGACGGUGUAGCGGUGAAAUGCUUAGAUAUCGUCAAGAACACCUAUAGCGAAGGCAGCUUACUAGGCUGUAACUGACGCUGAGGCACGAAAGCGUGGGGAGCAAACAGG